UUUUCUGUCACCUCCUACAUCUGUAGUGCCAGCUUUCUGGCAAGGAGAAGACUUAGACAUCCAAAUCUCUUCAGGUCACAUUUUAUGGAAAAGUUACUUCGUUCUGAAUCUAACAGGAUACCUGUGUAGGAGGUGUUGGGAAGCUUGAAAAUGUUUCCAUAGAUACAAAACAGAGCCAUAGCAGCAGCUUUCAGCCAGGCCAUGGUAUCUCCAUUGGUGGUAAUUGACACAGCUCCACCGGUAUCAAUGGAACUGCAUGAGCUUAUGAACUUUCAUGGUGCUUCUAGAUAACAUUUUAAGAAUGUCAAAAGAAGACAGGAGAGGACUGGGAAUCUCUACAGGGUCAGUGGUGAAGAUACAGAGUAGUUUUCUCCCAGAACCAAGUGAUUGUGGAGAAUGUGUUUUCCAUGAUACCCUUACAAUGUGGAUAACUGGGGGGAUGUGCACGCAGUCCUCAGACACUUUCUAUACUAAUUUGCUAUUAUUCAGCUGUAAUGUUGAAAUGAAACUGAAGAGUACUGAGUGAUGUUCAACAGUGCUGUGAAGAGAGCUCCUUAACAUUUACUGUGUUAACAAAUACACAAUAUUUACUUUUUAUUAUAAUUACUAUAAAAAAAAGUUCUGUUAACUGUACUUGCUUAAAAAGCCAGCCAAUUUUAUGAAAUUAUGUUUACUUCUACUAAAGGAACUCUGCUUAAUACUGGUGUCCUUUGUAAGUCUAAUUUUGGUCUCAAGUGCUUGUUUAAACCCAGGAAUACUAAACUACUCUGAACAUACUUACAACUGGAUCAGAAAAUGGCUUCUUGAAGCUAUAACAACAGAAAUUUUUGAAGAAAUCCAACCUGGUCCCUUGGUUUUGAUCUAGUUAGGACUUGUUCUUUUUACCUAAGGAGGAAAAAAUAAUGGAAAGAAACUGACUGUGUCUGUAGCAGAAUAUAAAACAGGAUUUGAUCAGAAAUAGAAACAAUGUCAUCUGUCUAAGAGUGCCAGAACUGCUAUUAUGUUUUGCUUGCUGCCUAUAACUAGCUGUUUUCCUGGAGUAUUCAACCCCAAAUAUAAGUUGCAGUUCAAAGACUGUGCUCUCACAAAACAUUUCUAGAGUUCAUUAAGUUCUCUGUGAUAGCUUUGAAGUCCCUAAGUUUCAUUCUCUUACGUAAGUUAGCAUUCUCUAACAGAGGAGGGGGAGUCUAGUGAAUCACUGAAAUUUCAACAGAUCAAAAAAAAAUAAAAUCCUGACCAGCUCCA
RNAcentral lists this long non-coding RNA (1245 nucleotides) under Anas platyrhynchos platyrhynchos (common mallard). RNAcentral describes it as "lncRNA (ENSAPLG00000019061.1)". The record is from RNAcentral. Lineage: Eukaryota; Metazoa; Chordata; Aves; Anseriformes; Anatidae.